GGCUAAUACAAUAAUGCUGUUGGGUCUGUCAGGGUAAGGAUAAUACGAUGAUGCUGAUUGGUCUGUCAGGGUUAGGUUAAUACGAUAAUGCCGAUUGGUCUGUCAGGGUUAGGUUAAUACGAUAAUGCUGAUUGGUCUGUCAGGGUUAGGUUAAUACGAUAAUGCCGAUUGGUCUGUCAGGGUUAGGUUAAUACGAUAAUGCCGAUUGGUCUGUCAGGGUUAGGUUAAUACGAUAAUGCUGAUUGGUCUGUCAGGGUUAGGUUAAUACGAUAAUGCUGAUUGGUCUGUCAGGGUGAGGUUUAGGUGAUUUUUUUAUUUUACCUUUAUUUAACUAGGCAAGUCAGUUAAGAACAAAUUCUUAUUUUCAAUGACGGCCUGGGAACAGUGGGUUAACUGCCUGUUCAGGGGCAGAACGACAGAUUUGUACCUUGUCAGCUCGGGGAUUUGAACUUGCAACCUUCCGGUUACUAGUCCAAUGCACUAACCACUAGGCUACCCUGCCGCCCAUGCUGAUUGGUCUGUCUGGGUUAGGUUAAUACGAUAAUGCUGAUUGGUCUGUCAGGGUUAGGUUAUGGUGAUAAUGCUGUUGGGCUGUCU
Oncorhynchus keta (chum salmon) is the source of this 597-nucleotide long non-coding RNA. RefSeq lists it as uncharacterized. The record is from RefSeq and is a predicted model, not a curated record. The transcript is spliced from 4 exons. NCBI's taxonomy places the organism in Eukaryota, Metazoa, Chordata, Actinopteri, Salmoniformes, Salmonidae.